RNAcentral lists this ribosomal RNA (757 nucleotides) under Mycobacterium intracellulare. Its description in RNAcentral is "bacterial SSU rRNA". It matches the Rfam family "Bacterial small subunit ribosomal RNA", at positions 43 to 803 of the family's 1533-position model. The record is from RNAcentral. Lineage: Bacteria; Bacillati; Actinomycetota; Actinomycetes; Mycobacteriales; Mycobacteriaceae.
CGUGCUUAACACAUGCAAGUCGAACGGAAAGGCCCCUUCGGGGGUACUCGAGUGGCGAACGGGUGAGUAACACGUGGGCAAUCUGCCCUGCACUUCGGGAUAAGCCUGGGAAACUGGGUCUAAUACCGGAUAGGACCUUUAGACGCAUGUCUUUUGGUGGAAAGCUUUUGCGGUGUGGGAUGGGCCCGCGGCCUAUCAGCUUGUUGGUGGGGUGAUGGCCUACCAAGGCGACGACGGGUAGCCGGCCUGAGAGGGUGUCCGGCCACACUGGGACUGAGAUACGGCCCAGACUCCUACGGGAGGCAGCAGUGGGGAAUAUUGCACAAUGGGCGCAAGCCUGAUGCAGCGACGCCGCGUGGGGGAUGACGGCCUUCGGGUUGUAAACCUCUUUCACCAUCGACGAAGGUUCGGGUUUUCUCGGAUUGACGGUAGGUGGAGAAGAAGCACCGGCCAACUACGUGCCAGCAGCCGCGGUAAUACGUAGGGUGCGAGCGUUGUCCGGAAUUACUGGGCGUAAAGAGCUCGUAGGUGGUUUGUCGCGUUGUUCGUGAAAUCUCACGGCUUAACUGUGAGCGUGCGGGCGAUACGGGCAGACUAGAGUACUGCAGGGGAGACUGGAAUUCCUGGUGUAGCGGUGGAAUGCGCAGAUAUCAGGAGGAACACCGGUGGCGAAGGCGGGUCUCUGGGCAGUAACUGACGCUGAGGAGCGAAAGCGUGGGGAGCGAACAGGAUUAGAUACCCUGGUAGUCCACGCCGU